This 314-nucleotide long non-coding RNA is filed under the name Trifolium pratense (red clover). RNAcentral's name for it is "long non-coding RNA (TPRA_LNC000170)". The record is from RNAcentral. Lineage: Eukaryota; Viridiplantae; Streptophyta; Magnoliopsida; Fabales; Fabaceae.
GUCAAUGAUCAGAUACUGCUUUGUUUGAACAUGUUUUGCUAUGAAUUUCACAAGUAUAUGUGGCAGUGAUAUGUGUUUUUAUAACCAUCAUGGUGUGUAAUUUAUAAUUUAAUUGAAAUGUUUUAUGGUAUUGUGGAUUUCUAUGAAUUGUUUAUGGUAUUGUGGAUGUCUAUGAGUGAUGAGUAAGGUAUCAUUUGGUCAAUUGAUCAUGUUUGUAAUUUAUAAAAACUGUUAUUGUCGAAAAAAAAAUUAUAAAAACCAUUAGCUAUGGCAGAUUGGCAGUGUUGUGCAAAAUUUGUAAUGGAAUGAGUAUU